GUAGGUGGCAAGCGUUGUCCGGAAUUAUUGGGCGUAAAGCGCGCGCAGGCGGUUCUUUAAGUCUGAUGUGAAAGCCCACGGCUCAACCGUGGAGGGUCAUUGGAAACUGGGGAACUUGAGUACAGAAGAGGAAAGCGGAAUCCACGUGUAGCGGUGAAAUGCGUAGAGAUGUGGAGGAACACCAGUGGCGAAGGCGGCUUUCUGGUCUGUAACUGACGCUGAGGCGCGAAAGCGUGGGGAGCAAACAGGGAUUAGAUACCCUGGUAGUCCACGCCGUAAACGAUGAGUGCUAAGUGUUAGGGGGUUUCCGCCCCCUUAGUGCUGCAGCUAACGCAUUAAGCACUCCGCCUGGGGAUACGGCCGCAAGGCUG
RNAcentral lists this ribosomal RNA (371 nucleotides) under uncultured organism. Its description in RNAcentral is "partial 16S ribosomal RNA". It matches the Rfam family "Bacterial small subunit ribosomal RNA", at positions 527 to 896 of the family's 1533-position model. The record is from RNAcentral.